Molecule: ribosomal RNA, 481 nt
Filed under: uncultured bacterium
Lineage: Bacteria
Description: bacterial SSU rRNA
Rfam family: Bacterial small subunit ribosomal RNA
Source: RNAcentral
GAUGAACGCUGACAGAAUGCUUAACACAUGCAAGUCUAUGAGAAGAUCUACUUCGGUAGAAGGUAUCAUGGCGGACGGGUGAGUAACGCGUAAAGAACUUGCCUCUUAGACUGGGAUAACAGAUGGAAACGUCUGAUAAGACUAGAUAUAAUAGCGACAUGGCAUCAUGUUGUUAUGAAAGGUAACACUAAGAGAGAGCUUUGCGUCCUAUUAGUUAGUUGGUGAGGUAAUGGCUCACCAAGACGAUGAUAGGUAGCCGGCCUGAGAGGGUGAACGGCCACAAGGGGACUGAGAUACGGCCCUUACUCUUACGGGAGGCAGCAGUGGGGAAUAUUGGACAAUGGAGGAAACUCUGAUCCAGCAAUUCUGUGUGCACGAUGAAGGUUUUCGGAUCGUAAAGUGCUUUCAGUAGGGAAGAAGAAAGUGACGGUACCUACAGAAGAAGCGACGGCUAAAUACGUGCCAGCAGCCGCGGUAAGAU